Physeter macrocephalus (sperm whale) is the source of this 2267-nucleotide long non-coding RNA. RefSeq lists it as uncharacterized. The transcript has 3 exons. Lineage: Eukaryota; Metazoa; Chordata; Mammalia; Artiodactyla; Physeteridae. The record is from RefSeq and is a predicted model, not a curated record.
CGAGAGGUUGAUCCACCUCCCCCAGGUCAAGCUGCCUUCCAGGAGGGUUCUGGGAGAACUGGCCUCUAUUUCUACCCCCACUGGCCCAAAUGAUGACAAGCACAGUGAGAAACACCAGGGAGGCACAACAUACCGCGAUGAUGAUCACCAGCCCCGACCACCAGCUUUCCUCAGUGGGACACGAGGUGGCGUUGGGAGCUGAAAGAGACGGGAGCAGCCUGAGUGUCCCCUGGAUGAGUGGGCCCCAGCCGGCAUCAGAGGUGGACCGUUGUGGGUGACACCAAGGCUGGUCUCACCGCCAUCCAUCACCCAGAUGAAGGCUCUCCAACCUGUCCUGCUGUCCCCACCCCCCAACCCAGUGGCAGGUGACAUCAUGGUUGGCCUCCAGCCAGGCAACGUGCUCCGAGCUGGGGUUAAGCGCCGCACCCCGGGCCAUCCGUCCUCCCUUGGCGUGAGCUAACUGACAGCAGGGUCGGGUUUAAUUUCCCGUGAAAAACAACAGAACAUCUCAUUCUCUCAGCUGGGACAUUAAACCUGCUUCCUCUGAAGCCCUCUUUGUGAGGCUCCUCAAGACCGGGACUUGUACUCAGCAGCACUGCUGUCUUUCUGGAGCUGCAGCCCACACUUUCUCCGUGCCCUGCCCUGGGCACCCUCCCCAGAUCUGCCGAGCCUUCGGUUCCCAUCCAGGGCUGCAGAUGCACUGCUGCCUGGAAGGGCUACGUUCAGCCAGCUUAGAACAGCGCAGCGCCGUCCAGAAGUGAGGAGACGGUGCCACAGGGGAAAGCUCUGGGGGACCACUUGAGCCUACCCUCAUUGCCCCGACUCCUCAUCAUUCGAGGACAAAUCCAUUCACUCACUCAACACCUAUCUGCUAAGAGCCUACGACAUGCCGUGCACUGGGCUAGGUGCUGGGGAGAGGAGGGUCGGUGAAAACACACAGGGACGCUGCCCUUGUGGUACAGUCUGCUGAAGAAUGGACACUGUGGGACUUCCCCGGUGGCGCAUCGAUUGGGAGUCCGCCUGCCAAUGCAGGGGACACGGGUUCGAGCCCUGGUCCGGGAGGAUCCCGCAUGCCGCGGAGCGACUAAGCCCGUGCGCCACAACUACUGAAGCCUGCGGGCCUAGAGCCCUUGCUCCGCAACAAGAGAGGCCACGGCGAUGAGAAGCCCGUGCACCGCAACGAAGAGUAGUCCCCUCUCGCCGCAACUAGAGGAAGCCUGCAUGCAGCGACGAAGACCCAACGCAGCCAAAAAUAAACACAUAAAUAAAUAAAAAUUAAAAAAAAAAAAAGAAUGGACACUAAUUCACUAACCACCAGCUAAAUGCACAUUUGAUUCCUGCCCCACUGAGAUACUGGGCAUGUGCCUUAGGUACAAACAACAGGAAACUACAGAACAAAAAAUAAGAAUUCCCGGAACACGAAGACCCAACAUAGGUUGACGGAGCACAACGGGGCUCCGCUUCGUGAGAGGCUCAUGACCUUGGGACAGGAACAUGCUCCCGAUGGUUUAUGUGAAAUGCCCAGCAGAGCCCCAGCACCUAGUUAUACUCAAUACAUGCUGGAUAACUUUCUCCCUUUCCAGAGGGCACUCAGAUGAUGGGGUCUCAUGACUGCCCAGUCAGGUAGAAUCUGCUCGGUCCCAGCAGCCGCCAUUACUGUGAAGAGGGCUUCAGGAUCAACUCAGACCAAGGGUCAAUAAACGCGGGCCCACAGGCCAAAUCUGGCCCGCCACCUGCUUUUGUAAAUAAAGUUUUAUAGAAACACAGACACACGCCCGUUUGUUUACAUAUUGUCAUGCCUGCUUUCUUGCUGCAUCGGCAGAGUUGAGUAGCUGCAGCAGAGACUGUAUGGCCUGCAAAGCCUAAGUUAUUUACUCUCUGGCCUUUUACAGAAUGAGUGUGUCCACCCCUCCCUAACUUCCGGUGGUCUUCACCUGAGAUCCUCAGACAAGAUUAGAAAAUUGAUCUGAGAGACCCCCUGGAAUUAUACCGCAUAUUUGCAUUUUACAAGUAAACGUUCCAUUCCUUCCAUGUUAUAUUUUAGAAAGUCCCUUUACUCCAAAUGUCACACCAGUGCCCUGGUGGGGAGGUGUCUAGACAUGUGACACAGGGCUCUGUUCUGUCUGGGAGUUUUAACAGUGACAGUCUUGACUUGGCCACACCGCACCUGCUAAGUGGUCAGUUGCGGGGGGACGACAUUCCCUGGAAGGCUGAUGGGGAGCAUGUACUGUGGUAAUACGCUAGGAAUCAUCCGGGGCCCUGCUGCA